AAAAAAUACAGUUUUGCACUUUUCAUGUCCAACAUUUGAUCACCCAUCUUAUUUGAAAAAAAAUUAUGAUUAGUAUUUUUACUAUUAUUAGAUGAUAAAACAUGAAUUAUACUUUAUGUAUGACUAAUUUUUUUAAAAAAAAUUCAUAAUUUUUUUAAAUAAGACGGAUGGUCAAAUGUUGAACACGGAAACCCACGACUACACUUAGA
Oryza punctata is the source of this 209-nucleotide non-coding RNA. The record is from Rfam. Lineage: Eukaryota; Viridiplantae; Streptophyta; Magnoliopsida; Poales; Poaceae.